UACCAAACAAUUUGUAGUCGAAACGGAUACUUCUGGAGUUGGAGUGGGAGCAGUUCUUAUGCAAAGCUAGCGCCCUUUGGCGUACUUUAGCCAUGGCCUUACACCACGCGAGCAGCUCAAACCAGCUUAUGAAAGGGAAUUGAUGGCCUUUGUCAUGGCAUUUCUCAAAUGGAAAGCUUUUACAAUGUGAAAGGAGAUUACAAGUGUAAAAGUAUGUGUGUGAAUGUAAGCUGAAUUGAAUGUGUCUUCCAAGUCGUCCUUGCUCCCUUAUAUAGGUCUACGCACGUGGUAGCUCUGUCCGGGAUCUGCGGAGAUCCUCCUGGAUAUUCGGCAGGGCAGUUCCGAGAUAUCAGGUCCGCUCCGCGAAUAUCUCAUCAUCAGUUCCUAGGUUGUUAUUCGCUUAUCUCCCUUCAUCAGGUGACCGGGCUUAUCUGGCCCAAAUACCCAUUCGCGUAUGUGGGCUCAUCAGCUGCGUAAGUCCCCUACUUGGUGGGUUUGGUGGGCUUUUGUGGGCUGGCUUGGUAUUUUCGCAGAUGGAUUCCUGGAGGGAAAUCCAGCUCCAACAUUUGCCCCCCAGCCCAUUGAGUGAGUAGGCGAACUCGAUGAGCGGACAUAUAUGUCAGGUGAGAUUGCA
RNAcentral lists this small RNA (634 nucleotides) under Arabidopsis thaliana (thale cress). RNAcentral describes it as "ATSL093410". Lineage: Eukaryota; Viridiplantae; Streptophyta; Magnoliopsida; Brassicales; Brassicaceae. The record is from RNAcentral.